GCCCCACCCCCCACCCCACCCACCUGGGUCGCGGCUCUCCACCUGGCCAAGGCCAAAGGGGGGCUCUGACGGAGUUGUAGUAGUGGUUAUGAGCCCGAUGCAGAAGUGAGUGCUUUGGGAUCUCUUGCCUGUUUGCACGUUUGCACCCUUUCACCCUUUCACCUGCAGGGCAAGCAUGCUUUUAGCUCUGAGACUCCCUCUGCUGCAGCCAGGACCACGACGACGACGACGAGUAGUAGUAGUAGUAGUCGUAGUAGCAGUAGCAGUAGAGUAGGCGAUGUAGUAGAAGGGUACAACAACUGGUGCCUUCCUGGCCGCCCUCCUCGGCCUAUGUUCCCUCAUGCGAUGCUGCAACUACUUAUACGAUGCGUCCGCAUCUCACUCCAAUCCACUGCUCUCUCAUUCCUUUACGUUUCAUUCCCAUUCUCCUUCGAGCUUUACCUCUCUUCUCUUCGUCCUCUUCUUCACCUUAUUGCGCUUCGUUGUUGGGUGCUCGCCUGCUUCAAGCGUUGGGUUGGUUGCUCGAAGCUGACAUUGCUUGAGGCUGGCUGUUAGGCUUGUUAUUGUUAUUGUCAUCGUCGUCUUCGUCCUAUCGCCGAUGCUGCUUGAACCGCAAUUUCUCUUAGAGGCUAGCUGCGACCAAGCGGAAGUUGUCCUUGCCACCUCAGAGCAUUGACAAAUCGAGCUUUCAUGAGUCAUGGUCUACAGCUCCUUAAUGGUUCACCGAAUAAGUGGAACGCUUUCAAAGCCGAAUCGGGUCCCGGUGCUCAGCUCUGGUCAAAACCAAUCGUAAUUAAGAGUAGUCUGAAAUGGAUGUGAGUCUUACCGUAUACAAUGUUGUGCUUCCAAGUAAGUGAUCCUAGCACAUGGCACGAUAUUCUCUUGAAAAAGAAGGUUUGAUCCAGUCAACUCUUUCCUCCAGUUUCUAAUCUCAUACUCUCCAUGUGAGAGCUCUCUCGAAGCAGUGGCUUAAGCAUAGUUACUCUAAUCACACUCUCACAUGGCUUCCGUAUAGUGCACUAGAUUUUUUGUAGAUGCAUCUGUACCUCUAAAUCUCCACUUUCUGGAUAUGCAUCCUUUUCCUAGAGACGAAGGUUUGAACUUACUCAUGUCUCAUGUUGUGUGACAGAUGAAUGCAAUCCCAGUACAUUACCUCAAAUGUUAAGUAGUAUAUGAUUGUACUGAGCAUCCAUAAUUGCUAUUGUACGUGUAUGGCAGUGACUUAAGAGCCCGUCUUGUAGUAUUUUCGUUAUCACUAGAUCCUGUGAUUUGCACCAACAUACAGCUAUGAUGUCUCUCGCUCCCCCGCCUCUCUCUCCCUCUCUCUCUUUGGGUGGUGUCGAGAACUUCUGUGGUGAACUACGUAAUACCCUCGUUCACUGUGUCGGAGAGCUUCUUCAUGUCUCAUGUCUCAUGUCUCAUCUUGAGUGGGUGUACGUUACAUUUACAUGUUCGACAGAACUCCUGCCUUGCCAGAGCAGAAUGACUAAGUCAUAUAUCCAUCUCUUUGCCUCCAAUAAAAUGUCCCCACUGACCAUCGUGGAGUGUAUCCGCAUCAUUUAAGGCCAAGUCAUUAUUCUUCAGCGAAACUCUGUGGAGUGCGUAACCUCCAAGGUCAUCGUAGCUGGUUAAAAAAAUGUUGGAUGUGCUGGUAUUCAAGAAUUGCAGAAUCUGUGUGCCGGAAUCCGUUAGAUCAGUCUGACCGUCUGAACUCAAGCGUGUAGAAGACAAACUACACUGAUUCCUCAUAAGCCCUAAACCUCCAAAGCUACCUCUUUCGAAUUUAUGCGGACGCAUCUACCGCUUCUUCGUGGGAAGUUGAUGUAAAGCGUAAGCUGAACUUAUCAGCGAACUUCUUUUCUCUAUGUUCACCAUGUUGGUCAUGGUACCAGGCUUCCCAUACCGCUUUAAAGUUUGUAAUUUGUAUUCGAUUUAUAGCAGUUGCAUCCGGCGGAUAGUAGAUACGUUAUCAAGUUCAUAUGUUGUACUUAGGGUCGAGUGUGGCCUUGUUCAGAUCCUAUCAACUUUCAUGAGAAGGCAACCCGUUCGCUCAGUUGACAGUUACAUCAGUCGACGGAUGCAGUCAUUUGAGCUUGUUGAAAUGCCAAUUGGUUUCGGUGCGUGUGAUGUACAAUCAGCUUCAAUACAGCUGGGGAAUCCGCUAGAACCUUGUUCGUCAUCAAGUUGCAUGUGACGUCUAGUGUAGUAUUGCACCUACUCCAUCUUUGGGAUGUUCUCUUUGUUCACAUCUUGUUCUGGAGGGGCUUGCAAGGAAUUCGUAGAUGACCUUACUUUGUAAUAUCUUCUUACUGAUAUCUCAGAGAUCUAAAUAACUUCCCACUUGGAUCUUUCAGUGACGCUAACACUGCCCAUCAAGACACGGAGGAUCAAAGCAAGCUGGGCGGCAUUGCAUGUGCGUCAAGCCGAGCUGAGAACUAGCUUCGAUGCUGUAUCAUUAUACUCCAGGAGCUGAGAGGAUGAGGAAAUAUGUCCUCUGUUUGUGCAUGAGCGUAUCGAUCUCAAUGCAAGAAUCCAAAGAGAGACCAUGAGGCGACGUUGGAAGUGGGGUUCAUGGUUGAACGGUGGGGAGUUGGACUGCCUGGCUCCCUGUAUGCCACCUGCGGGGCUUGUCAAAAUGAUUGCCAGGCUGCAUAGCUGGCAUCCAGGGAGCCAGACAGACCUUUCUCUUGCCUCAUCCGGGUCCCAUCGAUUGAGAACCACUUUCUGUCAGCACUUCCAAACAGGUGCAGAUGCCAAUUGACCAGGUCCUCUCGACCCCUGUGGGUACACCUACCGAUUGGCCAAGGGAACAUGUAGCGCACGUCCCAUCUGGGACUGCAUUGGCUCGCUCCUAGAUCUGCUCUAGAUUAGGUACUACAUGCUUAUCGGCAGCUUUUGAGUCGUUCUAAGGGAUAUCUUCACUCCAUUAAUCUGAAAGUAGUGGAGAUACCACAUGCAUGUUGGGGAUUACAGUAUUUGAACACAAUGCAGGGAACUUUUUCCUCCACGCUUUUACAUUCUAACCCAAAUUCAUUUGUCUUGUUGACGCCGGCAUCAAGUUGUUUCCACAGGAGAUGACGUUACAGAAGACUUUUGCAACCAAGAUGAGGAACAUGGUUUCACAUUGCUCUACUCGUCGGGUUUGCAUUGCCAAAAUAAUAUCUGCAUUUCUGCCUUGAGUUUCGAAAUGCAUGUGUGGAUUUAGAUAUGGUCGUGAGGUGACCACCAUGCUUAUUAUUAUACUUUUUGUAAUAAAAUAGUUUUCAAUUCGAUUACACUAUUGUGUUCGUACAUGCUACAGAUGAGCACGUUUUAUCUUGGGAUGAACUUGGGAUUAUGAUACUUCCACCAGAAAAAGUCUACGGCCAAAAAGUUUUUCUUUACAUCGUUUCUGGACAGUAAUGCAACCAUUUGAACAGGAUCGGAGAAAUUGAGGUAUUGCAGCCUUUGAAGGCAAUUAAGCCAUUCGGAAGCUCAACAGUCUUUGAACAUGUGUGUCUGAUGGUCAUUGAAUACAUGUACAACUUACAUUGUCCUCAUGUACAAGUGAAGGAUAGCACCUGUCAAGUUUCAAGCAGACUUGUGGUUUCGGAUCGUCUGUGCGAGACGCUGAAUCUAAGUGCAGCAUGAGAGUACCCAUGUGCAUAUUGAGGGUUUUGCAUAUAGAUAUAUAUAUAUAUAUAUAUAUAUAUAUCGUAUGAUAUAUAUGUCCAGGAUAGACUAAACGUAACUUCAAGCAGACUUGAUUUUACUUAAGGUUUUAUAACGAAACUGCAUUUUUGCAACUCAUGAUCAGUAAAGCCUAUUUAUACUAGUAUGUGCAUUGAGGUGUCCAUUCUGUUUUUGGCUUAAAAUGGGUUAGAUAGGCUUUCCAUUGUUCCAAAUGAUUGGUGUACCAAGAAAUUUCCAUUUGUGUUAGCGGUCCUUUCGACAGAGAGAUCUUGGGUGGCUUAAACUCAAUCAAUACGUCAUAAAUUUGCGGCAAGAGUACGUGAACUACUGUCCGGGGUAGUGCAGUGCAUUGCCUCGUCAAAAAGCGUACUUUUUUUACACUAGCUCCAGUGCAUUGACCAGUGAUCACUGGAAUCUAUAAGCCAUGGUUUUCAUUCUCGUUUCAGGUGAUUUACGCUCGAUACAUUGCAUUGGCACCGCGAACGCUUUUCACUGAACAAGAUACAAUGGAUUUCAUCAGAGUUGCAGACAUAUCCCCUUGCAGACAAGUCUAUCAAGGCCCCCAACCGACAAUGCAUUUGCAGAGAAACUAUGCCUGAUUUCACUGUGUCAAGAUUGUAGGAACACCUCGCCUAUGACAACUCUUAGAUCAUUUUCUGGACCUCGUAGUCAGACGCAACUGUCCUGUGGCACGAAUAAAGGGGUGUAUCACAAGCCACAGACCACAGCCACAUUUCAACCGUGAACUAUUGCAAGCCAAGUUACGGGAUAUGCAUCCUCAUCCAGCAACCCUUGCACGUUGUAUGACUACGACAUCGACCUUAAGCCUACCGAAGACGGAUAGCUGCUGAAACGGUUUCAGCGUCCAGGUCAAUUGGCCACGGAUGCGCUCUAUGUCCGAAGACGCUGCAACUGCAUAAGCGUGGAGCAUGCUUCAGACUCGACCUCCGAACUCUUUUAUCAGCUCCGACAGCGCACUUCCACCGAGUAGUCUACUGAAAUAUAUAUAUAUAUAUAUAUAUAUAAGUCUCCCACAUAUUCCAUUUGCACAAAAUUUGUGAAAACGGUGCACAGAACACGCAGACAGUGAAUCAGGCAGAGCCAGACCAGAGAGCCUAUUUCAGGGGGCGUGGUGAUUAGAUCACCCAAGGAGCACUCUUUCAUGCAGCAGAUGAGGCAAGCUGAGCAAUGCAUACCGCCAUAACGCAAGGCUGGAACUUACACGAGCUCACAUACCAGGAAGGGAGUGAAUGGGAAUCUGUGGCGAGAUGCAGCCAUGUGAGCACGGCAAUCAGCUCAUCCAUCGUCGGGGAGGACUCGCCGAGAAUUCAGCUAAACCCGGAUGCAGAUUCCGCGACAAACCAACCGAAAGUUGCUUUGCUGGGUCCUAAGCAGCGUCGAUGGAUGGGGAGGAAUGGACCAUCCCACUUGGGCCACGGUGCGUCUCUCCCUUCUGGGCUGAGCUCUGCUUGCUUUAUCCCUUGUGUUGCUUCUUCUUCCGUGGCCUUGCUCUGCCUCUCUACAUACUUACGUGAUAUGUACAUACAAGUGGUGUUUUGCCUUACAUUUGAACUUCUUUUAUGUUUCUCUUUGUGCGUGUGUUAGAAUAUGUGUAUGCAUGCAAGUGUACGUAUGGGUUUCGGAGAAAUAUUUUCCUAAACUCGAAGUUAUGGAGGAUGAAUAUUUGUCGUGUUGCUUAUACAAAUGAAAAAUUUGAGUAGAUUCAGAUUUCCUCAUUGCAGCUGUUUAUCUUUUAUUGGAAAUGGACUUUAACAAGAGUGGUAAGGAUCUUAUUUAUCUCAA
Molecule: non-coding RNA, 5475 nt
Organism: Physcomitrium patens
Lineage: Eukaryota; Viridiplantae; Streptophyta; Bryopsida; Funariales; Funariaceae
Source: RefSeq, a predicted model, not a curated record